RNAcentral lists this ribosomal RNA (219 nucleotides) under uncultured bacterium. RNAcentral describes it as "partial 16S ribosomal RNA". It matches the Rfam family "Bacterial small subunit ribosomal RNA", at positions 100 to 334 of the family's 1533-position model. The record is from RNAcentral.
CGGCACGGGUGCGUAACGCGUGGGAAUCUGCCCUUGGGUCUGGAAUAACAGUUAGAAAUGACUGCUAAUACCGGAUGAUGACUUCGGUCCAAAGAUUUAUCGCCCGGGGAUGAGCCCGCGUCGGAUUAGCUAGUUGGUGAGGUAAAAGCUCACCAAGGCGACGAUCCGUAGCUGGUCUGAGAGGAUGAUCAGCCACACUGGGACUGAGACACGGCCCAG